AAAUAUGCCUAAAAUAAGAAAAUGCUCAUUUAUCUUAAGUGUUUUUACACAUUUCCAGUAACAUCAGGAAAUGUUCCAUGUAUGUUUGCAUGGUGAGUUAUUAAUCAUAAGGGAAAAAAAGGUAUAAGGGUGAUAUUAUUCAUGUUGGCAGUAUUUCUCACUGCGCUGUGGUUUGCCACUGUUCAGUCCUCGGCAUUCAUCACAGGGUCAGGGAACAUGUGAAGCAGGUUUUUUCGACUCCUCAGGAAUUUGACCCGACAUCAGCAGCUGUUCCUUCACCCCUCAUUUCUGAACSUCCUUCCUUUCUUUUAGCUGUUUCUAUUUUCCUUUUUACUUUUAUGCUCUGACACUUAUAUUUUCUGUUUUUGUUCUUACACCAUCCACUGCCACUURAUAACAAUUGCAACUUGGUAGAUGAGCUGUAUGCCCAGAAACUGAAGUACAAGGCCAUCAGCGAGGAGCUGGACCACGCCCUCAACGACAUGACAUCUAUCUAAACCUUUUCACUCUUCACUGUGGAAGCUUGUCGAUCAUCAUUUCACUCCUCCGCAGCUCAGCCCGACUUUCUGUAUCUUUUUUUUUUUGCCUAUUUCUUUAUUGCCCUGCCAGGACUGCACACUGGGCUUUUGCUGCCAGCAGCCCUUGUUCCAUGUCUUAUACAGAUUUUUGAGCCAUAUUGCAUUCUGUAAAAUAAACACUCUUUCAUCAUCUAUGUCUAUGA
This is a non-coding RNA of Poecilia reticulata (guppy), 721 nucleotides long. The record is from RefSeq and is a predicted model, not a curated record. Lineage: Eukaryota; Metazoa; Chordata; Actinopteri; Cyprinodontiformes; Poeciliidae.